RNAcentral lists this unclassified non-coding RNA (387 nucleotides) under soil metagenome. Its description in RNAcentral is "partial contains 5.8S ribosomal RNA, internal transcribed spacer 2, and large subunit ribosomal RNA". The stretch from base 1 to 120 matches the Rfam family "5.8S ribosomal RNA", at positions 35 to 154 of the family's 154-position model. The record is from RNAcentral.
GAUGAAGAACGUAGCGAAAUGCGAUAAGUAAUGUGAAUUGCAGAAUUCAGUGAAUCAUCGAAUCUUUGAACGCACCUUGCGCUCCUUGGUAUUCCGAGGAGCAUGCCUGUUUGAGUGUCAUGAAAUUCUCAACCUUUUCAGCUUUCUUUGUUGAUCAGGCUUGGAUGUGGGAGUAUGCGGGCUUCUCAGAAGUCGGUUCUCCUGAAAUGCAUUAGCGGGACCUUUGUUGCCUGGCUUUGGUGUGAUAAUUAUCUACGCCAUUGUGGUCAAGCAGCUUAAAAUGAGGUUUCAGCUUCUAACCGUCUCCCCUGAGACAACUUUUUGACAAUUUGACCUCAAAUCAGGUAGGACUACCCGCUGAACUUAAGCAUAUCAAUAAGCGGAGGA